UUAGAUACCCUAGUAUAUGGAUAGGUUUAGAAAUUAGUAUAAGUGAAAUUUAAUAAUUUUGGCGGUUAAUUAUUUUUAGAGGAGCUUGUUUUAAAUAGAAUUAACUCUUUAGAUUUUAGGUUUAAUAUAAUUUAUUCAUCUCCGUUAUCAAAUUUAUUUAAUAAAUAUUUUUAGUAUAUCAGGUCAAGAUGUAGUUUUUAUAAAAUAUAAUUAGCUACAAUUAUGGAAUAAUUGGAUAUUAUGUAAAUUGAAAAUUAAAUUUGAAUUUGAAUUUAAUUGUAAUAAUAACUAGAAAGUUAGUAUGAAUUAUAUUAAUUAAUGUACAUAUUGCCCGUCACUUCUAUUAUGAAUAGAAUAAGUCGUAACAAAGUA
This 372-nucleotide ribosomal RNA is filed under the name Moreiranula moreirae. RNAcentral's name for it is "partial small subunit ribosomal RNA". Lineage: Eukaryota; Metazoa; Arthropoda; Arachnida; Opiliones; Gonyleptidae. The record is from RNAcentral.